GACGAACGCUGGCGGCGUGCUUAACACAUGCAAGUCGAACGGAAAGGCCCUGCUUUUGUGGGGUGCUCGAGUGGCGAACGGGUGAGUAACACGUGAGUAACCUGCCCUUGACUUUGGGAUAACUUCAGGAAACUGGGGCUCAUACCGGAUAGGAGCUCCUGCUGCAUGGUGGGGGUUGGAAAGUUUCGGCGGUUGGGGAUGGACUCGCGGCUUAUCAGCUUGUUGGUGGGGUAGUGGCUUACCAAGUCUUUGACGGGUAGCCGGCCUGAGAGGGUGACCGGCCACAUUGGGACUGAGAUACGGCGCAGACUCCUACGGGAGGCAGCAGUGGGGAAUAUUGCGCAAUGGGCGGAAGCCUGAUGCAGCAACGCCGCGUGCGGGAUGACGGCCUUCGGGGUGUAAACCGCUUUCGCCUGUGACGAAGCGGGAGUGACGGUAAUGGGUAAAGAAGCACCGGCUAACUACGUG
RNAcentral lists this ribosomal RNA (468 nucleotides) under uncultured bacterium. Its description in RNAcentral is "partial 16S ribosomal RNA". It matches the Rfam family "Bacterial small subunit ribosomal RNA", at positions 28 to 507 of the family's 1533-position model. The record is from RNAcentral.